This 122-nucleotide long non-coding RNA is filed under the name Meriones unguiculatus (Mongolian gerbil). Its description in RNAcentral is "Nuclear enriched abundant transcript 1 conserved region 1 (ENSMUGG00000020640.1)". It matches the Rfam family "Nuclear enriched abundant transcript 1 conserved region 1". The record is from RNAcentral. Lineage: Eukaryota; Metazoa; Chordata; Mammalia; Rodentia; Muridae.
CCAGCAGACUCCUUAUUUUCCAGAUGAGGGGUUGUGUCCCUGCGUGGGGAUGAGGCCUGGUCUAACGGAAAGUGGACUUAGCUUCGCUGGGCACACAGCUGUGGCCCACGGUGGUAUGUAAC